Molecule: ribosomal RNA, 504 nt
Filed under: uncultured bacterium
Lineage: Bacteria
Description: partial 16S ribosomal RNA
Rfam family: Bacterial small subunit ribosomal RNA
Source: RNAcentral
AUUGAACGCUGGCGGCAGGCCUAACACAUGCAAGUCGAGCGGUAGCACAGGGAGCUUGCUCCUGGGUGACGAGCGGCGGACGGGUGAGUAAUGUCUGGGGAUCUGCCUGAUGGAGGGGGAUAACUACUGGAAACGGUAGCUAAUACCGCAUAACGUCGCAAGACCAAAGAGGGGGACCUUCGGGCCUCUUGCCAUCAGAUGAACCCAGAUGGGAUUAGCUAGUAGGUGGGGUAAUGGCUCACCUAGGCGACGAUCCCUAGCUGGUCUGAGAGGAUGACCAGCCACACUGGAACUGAGACACGGUCCAGACUCCUACGGGAGGCAGCAGUGGGGAAUAUUGCACAAUGGGCGCAAGCCUGAUGCAGCCAUGCCGCGUGUAUGAAGAAGGCCUUCGGGUUGUAAAGUACUUUCAGCGAGGAGGAAGGCAUUAAGGUUAAUAACCUUAGUGAUUGACGUUACUCGCAGAAGAAGCACCGGCUAACUCCGUGCCAGCCGCCGCUGUAA